This 510-nucleotide ribosomal RNA is filed under the name uncultured bacterium. Its description in RNAcentral is "bacterial SSU rRNA". It matches the Rfam family "Bacterial small subunit ribosomal RNA", at positions 791 to 1304 of the family's 1533-position model. The record is from RNAcentral.
UAGUCUACGCCGUAAACGAUGGAUACUAGUUGUUCGGUUUUCGGACUGAGUGACUAAGCGAAAGUGAUAAGUAUCCCACCUGGGGAGUACGUUCGCAAGAAUGAAACUCAAAGGAAUUGACGGGGGCCCGCACAAGCGGUGGAGCAUGUGGUUUAAUUCGAUGAUACGCGAGGAACCUUACCAGGGCUUAAAUGUAGAUUGACAGGUUUAGAGAUAGACUUUUCUUCGGACAAUUUACAAGGUGCUGCAUGGUUGUCGUCAGCUCGUGCCGUGAGGUGUCAGGUUAAGUCCUAUAACGAGCGCAACCCCUGUUGUUAGUUGCCAGCAUGUAAAGAUGGGGACUCUAACGAGACUGCCGGUGCAAACCGAGAGGAAGGUGGGGAUGACGUCAAAUCAUCACGGCCCUUACGUCCUGGGCCACGACACGUGCUACAAUGGUAUGGACAAUGAGCAGCCACCUGGCAACNGAGAGCAAAAUCUAUAAACCNUAAUCACAGUUCGGAUCGGAGU